This 321-nucleotide long non-coding RNA is filed under the name Citrus x clementina. RNAcentral's name for it is "Citrus clementina (C. clementina) long non-coding RNA (CCLE_LNC000392)". The record is from RNAcentral. Lineage: Eukaryota; Viridiplantae; Streptophyta; Magnoliopsida; Sapindales; Rutaceae.
AUAUAUAUUUGUAUUCUAAGUACAUAUGUCACUCAUUUACUUAUUACCCUUUAGAUCUUUUUUUGACCAAUUAUAUCCAAAUGAAAUAUAUUUUAGUCACUAUUCAAAGGGCAUAAUUGUCCAAAAAGAUGUGUAUGCGAUCAUUAUGAGAUUAAGAUGGACUUUUUAUGAUCAUUUUGCUAAACCAUGGUUUUGUUGUUGACAUUUUCCCUAACAUUUACCAUACAAUGGGAAUAUGAACUGUAAUUAUUACUAAUAAUAUUACUAAACCCUAAUGGGUGAGUUAAACUCAUGUAUGACUCUAAACAUCUCCUUUAUUAU